GUGUAUUUUGUGCAAGAAAUUGCAAUAAAAUAGUCUGCCUAAGAAAAAUUGAAUUUUUUUGAAAAUUUUUUUUGACGAAAAUCGCUUUAAUGAUCAUAAAAUUGGUGUUCCUCUACUCGGAUCGGGCUGUCAAUUUUUUUCUACACUUUUAGGUGUAUUUUGUGCAAGAAAUUGCAAUAAAAUAGUCUGCCUAAGAAAAAUUGAAUUUUUUUGAAAAUUUUUUUUGACGAAAAUCGCUUUAAUGAUCAUAAAAUUGGUGUUCCUCUACUCGGAUCGGGCUGUCAAUUUUUUUCUACACUUUUAGGUGUAUUUUGUGCAAGAAAAUGCAAUAAAAUCGUCUGCCUAAGAAAAAUUGAAUUUUUUUGGUUAGUUUUUUAUGCUUUUGGAUGCGUUUUUGGUCAUAAAAAGGGUGUUCCUCUACUCGGAUCUGGGUGUCAAUUUUUUUCUACACUUUUAGGUGUAUUUUGUGCAAGAAAAUGCAAUAAAAUCGUCUGCCUAAGAAAAAUUGAAUUUUUUUGAAAAUUUUUUUUGACGAAAAUCGCUUUAAUGAUCAUAAAAUUGGUGUUCCUCUACUCGGAUCGGGCUGUCAAUUUUUUUCUACACUUUUAGGUGUAUUUUGUGCAAGAAAAUGCAAUAAAAUAGUCUGCCUAAGAAAAAUUGAAUUUUUUUCAAAAUUUUUUUUGACGAAAGUCGCUUUAAUGGUCAUAAAAUUGGUGUUCCUCUACUCGGAUCGGGCUGUCAAUUUUUUUCUACACUUUUAGGUGUAUUUUGUGCAAGAAAAUGCAAUAAAAUAGUCUGCCUAAGAAAAAUUGAAUUUUUUUGAAAAUUUUUUUUGACGAAAAUCGCUUUAAUGAUCAUAAAAUUGGUGUUCCUCUACUCGGAUCGGGCUGUCAAUUUUUUUCUACACUUUUCGGUGUAUUUUGUGCAAGAAAAUGCAAUAAAAUAGUCUGCCUAAGAAAAAUUGAAUUUUUUUGAAAAUUUUUUUUGACGAAAAUCGCUUUAAUGAUCAUAAAAUUGGUGUUCCUCUACUCGGAUCGGGCUGUCAAUUUUUUUCUACACUUUUCGGUGUAUUUUGUGCAAGAAAAUGCAAUAAAAUAGUCUGCCUAAGAAAAAUUGAAUUUUUUUGAAAAUUUUUUUUGACGAAAAUCGCUUUAAUGAUCAUAAAAUUGGUGUUCCUCUACUCGGAUCGGGCUGUCAAUUUUUUUCUACACUUUUCGGUGUAUUUUGUGCAAGAAUAUGCAAUAAAAUCGUCUGCCUAAGAAAAAUUGAAUUUUUUUGUUUAGUUUUUUAUGCUUUUGGAUGCGUUUUUGGUCAUAAAAAGGGUGUUCCUCUACUCGGAUCUGGGUGUCAAUUUUUUUCUACACUUUUAGGUGUAUUUUGUGCAAGAAAAUGCAAUAAAAUCGUCUGCCUAAGAAAAAUUGAAUUUUUUUGGUUAGUUUUUUAUGCUUUUGGAUGCGUUUUUGGUCAUAAAAAGGGUGUUCCUCUACUCGGAUCUGGGUGUCAAUUUUUUUCUACACUUUUCGGUGUAUUUUGUGCAAGAAUAUGCAAUAAAAUCGUCUGC
Molecule: long non-coding RNA, 1561 nt
Organism: Leptopilina boulardi
Lineage: Eukaryota; Metazoa; Arthropoda; Insecta; Hymenoptera; Figitidae
Exons: 6
Source: RefSeq, a predicted model, not a curated record